This 253-nucleotide ribosomal RNA is filed under the name uncultured bacterium. RNAcentral describes it as "partial 16S ribosomal RNA". It matches the Rfam family "Bacterial small subunit ribosomal RNA", at positions 524 to 776 of the family's 1533-position model. The record is from RNAcentral.
UACGGGGGGGGCAAGCGUUGUUCGGAAUUACUGGGCGUAAAGGGCUCGUAGGCGGCCAACUAAGUCGGAUGUGAAAUCCCCAGGCUCAACUUGGGAACUGCAUCCGAUACUGGAUGGCUUGAAUUCGGGAGAGGGAUGCAGAAUUCCAGGUGUAGCGGUGAAAUGCGUAGAUAUCAGGAGGAACACCGGUGGCGAAGGCGGGUCUCUGGGCAGUAACUGACGCUGAGGAGCGAAAGCGUGGGGAGCGAACAGG